Molecule: small nucleolar RNA, 91 nt
Filed under: Aspergillus brasiliensis CBS 101740
Lineage: Eukaryota; Fungi; Ascomycota; Eurotiomycetes; Eurotiales; Aspergillaceae
Description: Small nucleolar RNA R38
Rfam family: Small nucleolar RNA R38
About the family: snoR38 is a C/D box small nucleolar RNA conserved across yeast, human, Arabidopsis and rice. It is encoded in the intron of elongation factor-1 gamma in both pombe and cerevisiae. snoR38 guides the methylation of 2'-O-ribose sites in 28S rRNA.
Source: Rfam by way of RNAcentral
UUGUUUUAUGAUGAGCAUUUUAUUUCAAGUUAUCCCUGUCAGAACUGGUAAUAAUAAAAUAAUGUUGAUAACGUUUGACUCUGAAAAAUCA